AGGACGAACGCUGGCGGCGUGCCUAACACAUGCAAGUCGAGCGGGGACAUACGACGGAUAGGAAGUUUCGGAUGGAAUUGAAGAUGUAUUGUUCUAGCGGCGGACGGGUGAGUAACGCGUGAGCAACCUGUCCCUUACAGGGGGAUAACACAGCGAAAGUUGUACUAAUACCGCAUAAGACCACGGGGAGACAUCUUCCAGGGGUCAAAGGAGUAAUCCGGUAAGGGGUGGGCUCGCGUCCGAUUAGAUAGUUGGUGAGGUAACGGCCCACCAAGUCGACGAUCGGUAGCCGACCUGAGAGGGUGAUCGGCCACAUUGGGACUGAGACACGGCCCAAACUCCUACGGGAGGCAGCAGUGGGGAAUAUUGGGCAAAUGGGGGAAACCCUGACCCAGCAACGCCGCGUGAGGGAAGAAGGUUUUCGGAUCGUAAACCUCUGUCCUUGGUGAAGAGGAAGAGACGGUAGCCAAGGAGGAAGCCCCGGCUAACUACGUGCCAGCCGCGGC
This 506-nucleotide ribosomal RNA is filed under the name uncultured bacterium. RNAcentral's name for it is "bacterial SSU rRNA". It matches the Rfam family "Bacterial small subunit ribosomal RNA", at positions 26 to 518 of the family's 1533-position model. The record is from RNAcentral.